GAAUAGAUACCCGGGUAGUCCCAGCUGUAAACUAUGCAAACUCAGUGAUGCAUUGGCUUGUGGCCAAUGCAGUGCUGCAGGGAAGCCGUUAAGUUUGCCGCCUGGGAAGUACGUACGCAAGUAUGAAACUUAAAGGAAUUGGCGGGGGAGCACCACAAGGGGUGAAGCCUGCGGUUCAAUUGGAGUCAACGCC
This 193-nucleotide ribosomal RNA is filed under the name uncultured Nitrososphaerota archaeon. Its description in RNAcentral is "uncultured thaumarchaeote partial 16S ribosomal RNA". It matches the Rfam family "Archaeal small subunit ribosomal RNA", at positions 727 to 919 of the family's 1478-position model. Lineage: Archaea; Thermoproteati; Nitrososphaerota. The record is from RNAcentral.